ACCCGACUGCUAUCGGAGUGGGCCUAAGCCAUGCAAGUCGAACGCCCCCGGGCAAUGGCGGGGGCGUGGCGUACGGCUCGGUAACGCGUGGCCAACCUACCCUGCGGAGGGGGAUAACCCCGGGAAACUGGGGCUAAUCCCCCAUAGGGGAUGGGUGCUGGAACUGCCCCGUCCCCGAAAGGCCCAACCACCCAUGCCGUGGUUGGGUGCCGCAGGAUGGGGCUGCGUCCGAUCAGGUAGACGGUGGGGUAACGGCCCACCGUGCCGAUAACCGGUACGGGCCCUGGGAGGGGGAGCCCGGAGAUGGGCACUGAGACAAGGGCCCAGGCCCUACGGGGCGCAGCAGGCGCGAAACCUCCGCUAUGCGCGAAAGCGCGACGGGGCCACUCCGAGUGCCACCCGCUAAGGGUGGCUUUUGCCCAGUCCAAAAGGCUGGGCGAAUAAGGGGAGGGCAAGUUUGGUGUCAGCCGCCGCGGUAAUACCAACUCCCCGAGUGGUCGGGACGAUUAUUGGGCUUAAAGCGUCCGUAGCCGGCCUGGUAAGUCUCCGGUUAAAUCCGGCGUCUCAAGCGCCGGGCUGCCGGAGAUACUGCCAGGCUAGGGAGCGGGAGAGGCGGGCGGUAUUCCCUGGGUAGGGGUAAAAUCCUCAGAUCCAGGGAGGACCAUCAGUGGCGAAGGCGGCCCGCUAGAACGCGUCCGACGGUGAGGGACGAAAGCUGGGGGAGCGAUCCGGAUUAGAUACCCGGGUAGUCCCAGCUGUAAACGAUGCAGGCUAGGUGUGGGGGCACCUUAGGGGUGCCCCUGUGCCGAAGGGAAACCGUUAAGCCUGCCGCCUGGGGAGUACGGCCGCAAGGCUGAAACUUAAAGGAAUUGGCGGGGGAGCACCACAAGGGGUGAAGCCUGCGGUUCAAUUGGAGUCAACGCCCGGAACCUUACCCGGGGAGACAGCAGGA
RNAcentral lists this ribosomal RNA (952 nucleotides) under uncultured archaeon. RNAcentral describes it as "bacterial SSU rRNA". It matches the Rfam family "Archaeal small subunit ribosomal RNA", at positions 21 to 947 of the family's 1478-position model. The record is from RNAcentral.